GAGUUNGNUCCUGGCUCAGGAUGAACGCUGACAGAAUGCUUAACACAUGCAAGUCUACUCGAAAGCUCUUCGGAGUGAUUAGGGUGGCGGACGGGUGAGUAACGCGUAAAGAACUUGCCCUUCAGACUGGGACAACUGUUGGAAACGACAGCUAAUACCGGAUAUUAUGAGACUAAGGCAUCUUAGACUUAUGAAAGCUAUAUGCGCUGAAGGAGAGCUUUGCGUCCUAUUAGCUAGUUGGUGAGGUAAUGGCUCACCAAGGCGACGAUAGGUAGCCGGCCUGAGAGGGUGAACGGCCACAAGGGGACUGAGACACGGCCCUUACUCCUACGGGAGGCAGCAGUGGGGAAUAUUGGACAAUGGACCAAAAGUCUGAUCCAGCAAUUCUGUGUGUUUGAUGAAGGCCUUCGGGUUGUAAAGAACUUUCAGUGGGGAAGAAGCAAGUGACGGUACCCACAGAAGAAGCGACGGCUAAAUACGUGCCAGCAGCCGCGGUAAUACGUAUGUCGCAAGCGUUAUCCGGAAUUAUUGGGCAUAAAGGGCGUCUAGGCGGUCUAAUAAGUCUGAUGUGAAAAUGCGGGGCUCAACUCCGUAUUGCGUUGGAAACUGUUAGACUAGAGUUUUGGAGAGGUAGGCGGAACUACAAGUGUAGAGGUGAAAUUCGUAGAGAUUUGUAGGAAUGCCGAUGACGAAGGUAGCUUACUGGACAAAUACUGACGCUGAAACGCGAAAGCUAGGGGAGCAAACAGGAUUAGAUACCCUGGUAGUCCUAGCUGNAAACGAUGAUCACUGGGUGCGGGGGCGUCGAACNUCUGUGCCCAAAGUUAAUGCGAUAAGUGAUUCGNCNGGNGGAGUACGGCCGCAAGGNUUAAACCUUCAAAGGAAUUUGACGGGGNAACCCCCACCAAUUGGUGGGAGCAUG
This 922-nucleotide ribosomal RNA is filed under the name uncultured bacterium. Its description in RNAcentral is "bacterial SSU rRNA". It matches the Rfam family "Bacterial small subunit ribosomal RNA", at positions 9 to 941 of the family's 1533-position model. The record is from RNAcentral.